AAAACUGUUUGUCGUAGAAACUUGUUUUUAUUUACUGAACACAUUUAAACUACCUUACAUUCAAGUUAUAUAUUUUUCUUUUUUUUAGUUUUAAAUAAUCGAACAUAAAUUAUGUAAGUAAAGUAUUCCUUUUAAUAAUAUUUUCAAUAUCAUUUUAUCAUAAAAGCAUAUGUACUAAUAUAAUAUUAUACAUUUCAAUAAAGAGGUGUUGUUGGAAUUGACUUUUUAAUGUUGAUUUAGUACAUUAAGCACCUGUUUCACAAUAUAAUUCAUGAAUAAGUAUCAUUAAUGAAAUAUUCAUUCUGCAAUGCAAAAAAUCAUAUUUUUGAGUAUUUUUUGUAUUAUAUAGCAUUUAUUAUUAUCAACAUAAUUAAGUAAUAAAAUUAUCUUUAAUGUAAGAUUAUCCAUGGAUUCAAAAUGUUUAAAAAAUAAUACAAUAAAUCACUACUUUCAUUACUGAAUAUAAAUUUCACAUGAUCGAAGAAUACAAAAGGAGAAAGAUUGUGGAAAGUAAAAAUUCUUAGAAUAAAUAAUAAUAUAAUUUUUUAUGAAAGUUUAAGUAACAACUUUUUAAAAUAAUGCACAAUAUUUAAAAAAAGAAAAGAAAAAAACUUAUAUUUUUGAACUUAUAUACUAAAAAUUUAAUAAAAAUUUAUUAUCAUUGAGUUUAUAUUAAAGAGUUAAUAAAAUUUGAAUUAUUUCGGAAAAUAAUUAUAAAUCAGUAAAAAAGAUUCUCUUAUUUUUUUGAGAAUUUAUUUC
This 759-nucleotide long non-coding RNA is filed under the name Physcomitrium patens. RNAcentral's name for it is "long non-coding RNA (PPAT_LNC008227)". The record is from RNAcentral. Lineage: Eukaryota; Viridiplantae; Streptophyta; Bryopsida; Funariales; Funariaceae.